UACGGGGGGGGCAAGCGUUGUUCGGAAUUACUGGGCGUAAAGGGCGCGUAGGCGGCCUGCUAAGUCAGACGUGAAAUCCCCCGGCUUAACCUGGGAACUGCGUCUGAUACUGGACGGCUUGAGUAUGGGAGAGGGAUGUAGAAUUCCAGGUGUAGCGGUGAAAUGCGUAGAUAUCUGGAGGAAUACCGGUGGCGAAGGCGGCAUCCUGGACCAUUACUGACGCUGAGGCGCGAAAGCUAGGGGAGCAAACGGG
RNAcentral lists this ribosomal RNA (253 nucleotides) under uncultured bacterium. Its description in RNAcentral is "partial 16S ribosomal RNA". It matches the Rfam family "Bacterial small subunit ribosomal RNA", at positions 524 to 776 of the family's 1533-position model. The record is from RNAcentral.